This 73-nucleotide transfer RNA is filed under the name Nitrospira sp. RNAcentral's name for it is "tRNA-Thr". It matches the Rfam family "tRNA". From Rfam's summary of the family: Transfer RNA (tRNA) molecules are approximately 80 nucleotides in length. Their secondary structure includes four short double-helical elements and three loops (D, anti-codon, and T loops). RNAcentral also lists the same sequence under 8 other names. Lineage: Bacteria; Pseudomonadati; Nitrospirota; Nitrospiria; Nitrospirales; Nitrospiraceae. The record is from RNAcentral.
GCCCACAUAGCUCAGUCGGUAGAGCACACCCUUGGUAAGGGUGAGGUCACGGGUCCGAAUCCCGUUGUGGGCU